UGGGGAAUAUUGGACAAUGGGCGCAAGCCUGAUCCAGCCAUGCCGCGUGUGUGAAGAAGGCCUUUUGGUUGUAAAGCACUUUAAGCGAGGAGGAGGCUACUUGGAUUAAUACUCUAAGAUAGUGGACGUUACUCGCAGAAUAAGCACCGGCUAACUCUGUGCCAGCAGCCGCGGUAAUACAGAGGGUGCGAGCGUUAAUCGGAUUUACUGGGCGUAAAGCGUGCGUAGGCGGCUUCUUAAGUCGGAUGUGAAAUCCCUGAGCUUAACUUAGGAAUUGCAUUCGAUACUGGGAAGCUAGAGUAUGGGAGAGGAUGGUAGAAUUCCAGGUGUAGCGGUGAAAUGCGUAGAGAUCUGGAGGAAUACCGAUGGCCAAGGCAGCCAUCUGGCCUAAUACUGACGCUGAGGUACGAAAGCAUGGGGAGCAAACAGG
Molecule: ribosomal RNA, 430 nt
Filed under: Bacillota bacterium
Lineage: Bacteria; Bacillati; Bacillota
Description: Firmicutes bacterium partial 16S ribosomal RNA
Rfam family: Bacterial small subunit ribosomal RNA
Source: RNAcentral